AACAUUAAAAUGAACAAAAAUAGUUGUCUUAAGAGUAAAAUGGAAUCUGUUUUUUCUGUGUUACCAGGAGAACUUGUAAUAGUGAGCAUUCUUCCUACACUCAGAUUUCAGUAUCAGGCUUCCAUGUGUGUUCACUUACAUACUUGAUAAGCAGAGACCAAUGAUAGUUACUGUAGUUACCAUCUUUAAGAAAAUGUACUUUAAAGUUUGCCUGGCAAUAGCAGAGACUGCAAACACCUUCCAGUGCCUGAGAAGAUUAUGACAUUACUGUUACCUUCCCCAGCUACUGAUUUGCAGCCUGACAAAAUCCUGCCAGACCCUUCAUAAGAUAUUAACUUGGCAACUAUUGACAGCGCACUGGAUCCUGACAUUUAGAAGAAAUCCCCUCUCUCCAAGCACGUCAACCAUUCGCUCAUGAUUCACAUUAGUCUUAAUAUGAGGCUACAAAUGUGCUUUUGAGGUGACUGAAAAAGCUAUGCAUCAGAUAGAUCUAAUACUUUUCUGUUAAGAACAUUUGUGUUCUGCAAACCUGCAGGAAUCAAUGUGGUGCAUGCCAGGUGUUGUGACCUAGAACUUCCAUCAUUCCUGGCAACUGGCCACACCUCUGAGGCUGACUGGAGUCCACAAUACCUGGGGGAGAGGACACCACAUUGACUAUCCCUGUUGUAAACUGUCAUGGGUAGAAUGAUGCUGUAAUUGUUCCACAUAGUCACUGGUGCUUGUACUUUACUAGCCUAGAGAAUAUAAACAGAAACACAACUAAGAGAUAUCCUGUAUACAUAAAGAAGAUAUAAAAGGGCCCCAAACUGCUAUUUUUUUAACAAUUGCUAAUUGGGCAGAAACUUAGAGUUUCCCCCCAUGAAUAUGUCUUCUUGCAUGAAUUGUUCGAAAGAAUACAAGUAUGUCUUAAUAUAUUACUGAUAUUUAAUAAAGUAUACCACCUUAAAUAUGAGAAUCUUCUCCUUUACAUACAGUAGGUUUUUAUUACUGUAAUUACUGUUGUGACUGACAUAAUAUUUGAAUA
This is a long non-coding RNA of Podarcis raffonei (Aeolian wall lizard), 1024 nucleotides long. RefSeq lists it as uncharacterized. The record is from RefSeq and is a predicted model, not a curated record. Lineage: Eukaryota; Metazoa; Chordata; Lepidosauria; Squamata; Lacertidae. The transcript is spliced from 3 exons.